CAAGGCGGUGGAGCAUGUUGGUUUAAUUCGAAGCAACGCGAAGUAACCUUACCAGGUUCUUGACAUCCCGAUGCUAUUUCUAGAGAUAGAAAGUUACUUCGGUACAUCGGUGACAGGUGGUGCAUGGUUGUCGUCAGCUCGUGUCGUGAGAUGUUGGGUUAAGUCCCGCAACGAGCGCAACCCCUAUUGUUAGUUGCCAUCAUUCAGUUGGGCACUCUAGCGAGACUGCCGGUAAUAAACCGGAGGAAGGUGGGGAUGACGUCAAAUCAUCAUGCCCCUUAUGACCUGGGCUACACACGUGCUACAAUGGUUGGUACAACGAGUUGCGAGUCGGUGACGGCGAGCUAAUCUCUUAAAGCCAAUCUCAGUUCGGAUUGUAGGCUGCAACUCGCCUACAUGAAGUCGGAAUCGCUAGUAAUCGCGGAUCAGCACGCCGCGGUGAAUACGUUCCCGGGCCUU
RNAcentral lists this ribosomal RNA (459 nucleotides) under uncultured Streptococcus sp. RNAcentral describes it as "bacterial SSU rRNA". It matches the Rfam family "Bacterial small subunit ribosomal RNA", at positions 926 to 1382 of the family's 1533-position model. Lineage: Bacteria; Bacillati; Bacillota; Bacilli; Lactobacillales; Streptococcaceae. The record is from RNAcentral.